This 519-nucleotide ribosomal RNA is filed under the name uncultured bacterium. Its description in RNAcentral is "bacterial SSU rRNA". It matches the Rfam family "Bacterial small subunit ribosomal RNA", at positions 8 to 518 of the family's 1533-position model. The record is from RNAcentral.
AGAGUUUGAUCCUGGCUUAGGAUGAACGCUAGCUACAGGCUUAACACAUGCAAGUCGAGGGGCAGCAUUGGAGUAGCAAUACUUCAGAUGGCGACCGGCGCACGGGUGAGUAACACGUAUCCAACCUGCCGCUUACUCGGGGAUAGCCUUUCGAAAGAAAGAUUAAUACCCGAUGGUAUAAAGAGUUCGCAUGUUCUCUUUAUUAAAGAAUUUCGGUAAGCGAUGGGGAUGCGUUCCAUUAGAUAGUUGGCGGGGUAACGGCCCACCAAGUCUACGAUGGAUAGGGGUUCUGAGAGGAAGGUCCCCCACAUUGGAACUGAGACACGGUCCAAACUCCUACGGGAGGCAGCAGUGAGGAAUAUUGGUCAAUGGACGAGAGUCUGAACCAGCCAAGUAAGCGUGAAGGAUGACUGCCCUACGGGUUGUAAACUGCUUUUCCCCGGGAAGAAUAAGCCCCUCGUGAGGGGUGAUGCCGGUACCGGGGGAAUAAGGAUCGGCUAACUCCGUGCCAGCAGCUGC